Molecule: ribosomal RNA, 251 nt
Filed under: uncultured bacterium
Lineage: Bacteria
Description: partial 16S ribosomal RNA
Rfam family: Bacterial small subunit ribosomal RNA
Source: RNAcentral
UACGUAGGGGCCGAGCGUUGUCCGGAGUUAUUGGGCGUAAAGCGCGCGCAGGCGGCCUCGCGCGCCCGACGUGAAAGCCCCGGCUUAACCGGGGAGGGUCGUUGGGGACGGCGGGGCUUGAGGGCGGGAGAGGUCGGUGGAAUUCCCGGUGUAGCGGUGAAAUGCGUAGAUAUCGAGAGGAACACCUGCGGCGAAGGCGGGUGCUGGGCUGACACUGACGCUGAAGUGCGAAAGCUAGGGGAGCGAACGGG